This 45-nucleotide non-coding RNA is filed under the name Schistosoma mansoni. Lineage: Eukaryota; Metazoa; Platyhelminthes; Trematoda; Strigeidida; Schistosomatidae. The record is from RNAcentral.
AUCCAGCAGACGAGUCUCAAAUAAGACGAAACACUCAUCCUGGAU